RNAcentral lists this transfer RNA (68 nucleotides) under Anopheles lutzii. RNAcentral describes it as "tRNA-Gly". Lineage: Eukaryota; Metazoa; Arthropoda; Insecta; Diptera; Culicidae. The record is from RNAcentral.
AUUUAUAAAGUAUAUAAAUUUGUAUAUGUGACUUCCAAUCACAAGGACUAAAUAAUUUAGUAUAAAUA